CCAUUAGUUAGUACUCUCAUCUCUCGGUCUCUCCCUCUCACAGAUUGAAACACCCACUUGCCAAGCUCCUGCCCUAGAUCCCGCCAGCCCAGCUCUUCCCCGCUACCAGUGUGCCCCUCAAGCUCUUGCCCUAGAUCCCACCGGCCGCACGCGGCACGCCACAGCCUCUAACUUCGCCCUCCUUCAUCCUCCCCUUCUCAGUGGGAGAAGAUCUGAAAUCGCAGCAUCGACCUCCCCUCCUCAGCAGGAGAUGAUCUAAAAUCGACCAUUGUUGCCUCUACUUCCUUCGUUCGUCCCUUCUCAGCUUCUCAUUGUUCGUCUCUGAGAGCUUCAGGUUUGUGGGUUGUGCCUUCUGACAUCCUCUCCUCCAUCAUCUUCUAUUCGGACUUUGGCGACUCUGCUUCGUCUCUCAGUGUCUGUGCACCUCCAAAUCGGUCGAUCAUGGCCUCCCUCCUCAACUCCAUUGCUCGGAUUCCGAGCUUCAUUGAAGCCUUCUGGCACAUCUCCAGUCCAAAGGGGUAACUUCAAGUCCUCUUCCCUGUCUUUCAACUCCACCGCUUCUGUUGCCCCUUCAUUUGGUUUUCAACCAUCGUCGCCUUCUUCUGAAGUACAAGGUGUCUUCUCAUGGUGAAAUCAUAGGUGAUGCUUGAGUCGGGGAUGAUAGGGCUACUCAAACAACAAAGCCUUCAAUGCCGGUUGCAAGUGGGACUACAAAAAGAAAAAGCAUGAAGCCAAAUUAUAUAAGAAUUUGGGGAUAAGGAUUGUAUGGAAUUUGUUGUAAUUUUGUUAGUUUGUUUGGAUGUUAAUUAAGUUUGGAUUGAUGCAAGAAAGAUGAAGUUGAUUAUUAGUAAUAUAUGUCUGGAAUUUAGAACUUUUGUUACACCUUUCAAAUAUUUAAAUUCAUUGUCCAAAAGAAGCCCAAAAAA
Neltuma alba is the source of this 926-nucleotide long non-coding RNA. RefSeq lists it as uncharacterized. The record is from RefSeq and is a predicted model, not a curated record. The transcript has 2 exons. NCBI's taxonomy places the organism in Eukaryota, Viridiplantae, Streptophyta, Magnoliopsida, Fabales, Fabaceae.